GUAAAAUUAAUGAAUUAAGUAAUAAUAGAAAAAUUUUUAAAUUAAAAAUUAAUUAUUUUAAUUGGGGGUUAAAGUAUUUUAAUAGAAUAAAUUUAAAAAAUUAUAGUAAAUUAGUAUUGUGAAAGAAUUUUGAAAUAAAUGAAAAUAAAUUUAUUUUAAAGUAAUUUUUAUUUAGUGUAUCUUGUGUAUCAGAGUUUAUUUAGAAGAAUUAUAAGAAAAAAAAAAUCUCGAAUUUAAAAGAGAUAAUUAAUUAAAAAAGUUAUUGUAACAUAAAUAUUUUUAAUAAUUAAUUUGAAAUGAAAUGUUAAUCGUUUUUAAAUAUAUCUAGUUUUUUUAGAAAAAAAUUUAAUUUUAAAUUAAAUUUAAUUAAUUAAUUAAAUAAAUAAUUAGUUAUUUAAUUUAAUUUUAUAAUUUAAGGGAUAAGCUUUAAAUUAAAUAAAUAUAAUUAUUAAUUAAUAUGGUUUUUGAAAAUUAUAUAAUUUAUAUUGUUAAUAAAUUAUAAUUUAUUAUAAAUAAUUUCAUAAUUAAUAAAAUUUAAUAAAAAAUUUAUUUAUUUAUAAAAAAAUAAUUUAGAAAUAUUUUAAAUUAGAUAUAAUGAUAAAAUUAGUAUAUAGGUUUAAAAUAAAUAUUAUUUAGAUGUAAAUUAUUUUAAAGGAAUUCGGCAAUAAUUUAUAUUCACUUGUUUAUCAAAAACAUGUCUUUUUGAAAUAAUUUAAAGUCUAAUCUGCCCACUGAUAAUAUAUUAAAGGGCUGCAGUAUUUUGACUGUACAAAGGUAGCAUAAUCAUUAGUCAUUUAAUUGAUGACUUGUAUGAAGGAUUGGAUGAAAUAUGGACUGUCUCUAAAAUAAAAUAUAGAAUUUAAUUUUUAAAUUAAAAAGUUUAAAUAAAUUAAAAAGACGAGAAGACCCUAUAGAGUUUUAUAAAUAUUUAAAUUAAGUUUAUUUAUAAAUUAAUAAAAUUUUAAUUUGAUUAUUUAUUUUAUUGGGGUGAUAGAAAAAUAAGAAUAACUUUUUUUAAAAGAUUAACAUAAAUAAGUGAAAAUAUGAUCCAGUUUUAUUGAUUAUAAGAAAAAAUUACCUUAGGGAUAACAGCGUAAUUUUUUUUUUUAGUUCAAAUAAGAAAAAAAGUUUGCGACCUCGAUGUUGGAUUAAGAUAAAAGUUAAAUGCAGAAGUUUAAAAUUUUUGAUCUGUUCGAUCAUUAAAAUCUUACAUGAUCUGAGUUCAAACCGGUGUGAGCCAGGUUGGUUUCUAUCUUUUAAUAAUUAAAAUAUUUUAGUACGAAAGGAUUAAAUAUUUAAAUUAAAUUUAUAAGUUUGAAUUUUAUUAAAUAAUAUAUAUAUAUAUAUAUAAAUAAAUAAAUAAAUUUAUUUUUGAAUAGUGAAAUAAAUAAAAAUUUUAU
RNAcentral lists this ribosomal RNA (1400 nucleotides) under Hydrillodes lentalis. RNAcentral's name for it is "16S ribosomal RNA". Lineage: Eukaryota; Metazoa; Arthropoda; Insecta; Lepidoptera; Erebidae. The record is from RNAcentral.